This 253-nucleotide ribosomal RNA is filed under the name uncultured bacterium. Its description in RNAcentral is "partial 16S ribosomal RNA". It matches the Rfam family "Bacterial small subunit ribosomal RNA", at positions 524 to 776 of the family's 1533-position model. The record is from RNAcentral.
UACAGAGGUCCCAAGCGUUGUUCGGAUUUACUGGGCGUAAAGGGUGCGUAGGUGGUGAGGUAAGUCUGAUGUGAAAUCUCCGAGCUUAACUCGGAAAUGGCAUUGGAAACUACCUUGCUAGAGGGUUGGAGGGGGGACUGGAAUACUUGGUGUAGCAGUGAAAUGCGUAGAUAUCAAGUGGAACACCAGUGGCGAAGGCGACUCUUUGGCCUGUAACUGACGCUGAGGCGCGAAAGCGUGGGGAGCAAACAGG